Molecule: ribosomal RNA, 210 nt
Filed under: Triticum aestivum (bread wheat)
Lineage: Eukaryota; Viridiplantae; Streptophyta; Magnoliopsida; Poales; Poaceae
Description: partial small subunit ribosomal RNA
Source: RNAcentral
AUGCUCAUCCCGGCAGCUCUGGGAGGAGUCAUAAACAAGGACAAUGUUGAUGCCAUCAAAGCAAAGUACAUCAUCGAGGCUGCUAACCACCCAACAGACCCCGAGGCCAAAGAGAUUCUGGCAAAGAAGGGCGUGUUGAUCCUACCGGACAUCCUGGCCAACUCCGGCGGAGUGAUGGUGAGCUACUUCGAGUGGAUGCAGAACAUCUAG